RNAcentral lists this transfer RNA (65 nucleotides) under Hespera obesula. RNAcentral describes it as "tRNA-Asp". Lineage: Eukaryota; Metazoa; Arthropoda; Insecta; Coleoptera; Chrysomelidae. The record is from RNAcentral.
AAAAAUUUAGUUAAUAUUUAUAACAUUAACUUGUCAAGUUAAAAUAAUCUUAUAGAUAAUUUUUA